Long non-coding RNA from Mus musculus (house mouse), 778 nucleotides. RefSeq annotates it as predicted gene, 51738. The transcript is spliced from 3 exons. Lineage: Eukaryota; Metazoa; Chordata; Mammalia; Rodentia; Muridae. The record is from RefSeq and is a predicted model, not a curated record.
CUCAGUGGCCAUAGUGAACUCUGGGGCUUCCACAGCCACACUCUUACCCCAACUUUCCAGGCAGCCCCAGUGUUCCUCAGAAGAGGCCUACAAUGAGCUAUUGCAGUCACCAGAUGGACUCAUGCAUGCAGCAGGUGGGCCAGAUGGCAAGGCGCCCUGUCUGAUGCUGCCUGCCCGGGCAUAGGCUGCCUCUUCCUUCCAGACAUACAGGGAAGGCUUCAGGAUACAUCCUAGCAUAUGCACAGAGGCAGGAGCACCAGUCUGAAAUAUUCCAUCUCAGCUUCAAGAAGUGAAAAGGACUCCCGGGGAGUGGGGUAAAGUCGUGGAGAUGGUGGAGAAGAUGCUCAUUGUCACAAAUGUUCUGCAAAAAGCACAGAUGAAGACAAGCUGUACAGGAGGCUCUUGGGUACAAACCUACACAAAGGCGGACCGUGCUUCUCAUCAACGGUGAAGAUGAAGAUACCGAAGCCAGGCUGUUAUGGCUUUUGGUGGUAUAGAAAAUAUUGGCUACACCUAAGUGGGGACUAUCCUUUGUCAUAUUUUCCCUAUGUCUUUUCUGAAAAACAGUAUCUCCCUUUUAAAGUUUGGCAUCCUAUAUCACUGUUACAGUGAAUACUGUGUUAAGGAAGCUGGACACAUGACACUGAGCUAUUAACAGACAGGCACUCGGUAACAUGGAGUAUAAAUUUUAAUUGAGCAUAAACACUUGACAAAAACUCUCCCGAGAUGUUUCUGGCACAUUCCAACUGGCAAUGGCACCAUGGUACUAUGAUUUGAC